Molecule: ribosomal RNA, 447 nt
Filed under: uncultured bacterium
Lineage: Bacteria
Description: bacterial SSU rRNA
Rfam family: Bacterial small subunit ribosomal RNA
Source: RNAcentral
UCGGGAAUUUUGGGCAAUGGGCGCAAGCCUGAUCCAGCCAUGCCGCGUGGAUGAUGAAGGCCUUAGGGUUGUAAAAUCCUUUCGUUGGGGACGAUAAUGACGGUACCCAAAGAAGAAGCUCCGGCUAACUUCGUGCCAGCAGCCGCGGUAAUACGAAGGGGGCUAGCGUUGUUCGGAUUUACUGGGCGUAAAGCGCGUGUAGGCGGACUUGUAAGUUGGGGGUGAAAUCCCGAGGCUCAACCUCGGAACUGCCUCCAAAACUACAAAUCUGGACCUAAGUAGAGGCAAGUGGAAUUGCGAGUGUAGAGGUGAAAUUCGUAGAUAUUCGCAGGAACACCAGUGGCGAAGGCGACUUGCUGGACUUAUGGUGACGCUGAGACGCGAAAGCGUGGGGAGCAAACAGGAUUAGAUACCCAAGUAGUCCCUGAGCGGGCUGGCAAGGCGCAU